Long non-coding RNA from Engraulis encrasicolus (European anchovy), 953 nucleotides. RefSeq lists it as uncharacterized. The record is from RefSeq and is a predicted model, not a curated record. NCBI's taxonomy places the organism in Eukaryota, Metazoa, Chordata, Actinopteri, Clupeiformes, Engraulidae. The transcript has 3 exons.
UCUGCACUGUCAUAGCAAUGUUGUUAUGAUGUAGUUUUCAGCAAAUAGUGAAUAGGCCCGCUGGCAACCCCAUCUGCACUGCAGUAAGAGGCUACGGAAUGCUUUUUUGGGGGGUGCAACACCCAUCGCCAUUUUUUUUACAAUACCACUCCACCAGGAAAAAUGUCUAAUUGUUUGCCUGUCUAUUUAUUCAUUCUUUUUUCUUUUCUUUUGUACAAGGCAAGUUGCAGGAAGCAGCUGAAGUAAAGGAAGCCAAGAGCAUCCUCAUUCACAUCAAGGACAGAGACUGUGUGGCUCUGGAGGUGCAGUACCACAGAAGUUGCUACAGAGAGUACACAAGGUUUUUGAGUGAGCCUGUCAGAGCAGAGAAAGAACAGAUUGGGCCAACAUUUGAUCUGAGCUACAAGUUAUUCUGCGAGAGGGUAAUUCGCUAAAGGCUACUGAUCAACCAAGAGGUGCUGAGGAUGAGCCAACUGAGGAAGGCCUUUAUUGCCCUUGUGCAGUCAAGUGAAGGUGUUGAUGCUUCAACCUACAGACAGGAUAUAUUGAAGAAGAGGCUCAGUCGUGAUUUUCCUCAGCUAGUGUUCCACACCCCCGCCAAACGCAACACAUCUGAACUGGUUUUUGCUGAGAACUUGUCGACGAAUGCAGUCUUGGACUUGUUACCAUCAGGUGCGGAGACGACUCAGUCCAGCGAAAUGAGCCAGACAGACAGCGACACGGAAAGGAGGAAGUCAAAGCAACCAACCACAGCAGAGGAGAGGCUUUGAAGAGGCUGCUUAGUCACAGUCCUGGCAUGUCAUGCCCAUGGCCCCCAACUGCAGUAAACUUCAAUCUCACUGAAGUCAUUUGCUGUGGCAUGCGCAAAAGAUGUGUACCUGGAUGCUUUCACACAGUUCAUGAAAAUGCCGGUUCAUGUGUAUGCCACUUGUUUUGAUUUUUUUAUUUGUUGU